RNA transcript from Mus pahari (shrew mouse), 2553 nucleotides. It is a transcript of the gene named acyl-protein thioesterase 1 pseudogene, with no coding region annotated. The record is from RefSeq and is a predicted model, not a curated record. The transcript has a single exon. Lineage: Eukaryota; Metazoa; Chordata; Mammalia; Rodentia; Muridae.
CCAACCAACCAAAUAAAAAACCCACCCAAAACAAAUACAAAUAGAAAGGAAUCAUUAAAAAAAGAAAAGAAUGCCCACUAAAUCAAUACGAUCAAUGUCCGUAGGAACUCACAGAGACACAGGCAAGGCUGCACAGGCCUGCACAGGCCUGAACUAGUUGGGGUUCUAGGGCUGAAAGGAAAAGUGGACACACGUCCCCAUCCCUGACACAGAAGCAAUGUCACCACAUUCAUAACCACUUACAAAUGGAAAUUAAUCUUACUCCAAGAGAGUUUCUCCAUCUCGUGGAAUGGGCUGCCCGACGCCACGGUUAUUUUCCUUCAUGGAUUGGGCAAGGAUGGGCAGGAGCCGUUGGUUGCAGGCGUCAGAACGCCCCACAUCAGGUUCACCUGUCCACAUGGCACCUGAUAUGCCUAUUACAGUCAACAUGACUGUGACCAGGCCUUCUUGGUUUGAUAUUGGACUUUUUGCAGAUUCCCAGGAGGACGAAUCUGGAAUUAAACAGGUGGCAGGAAACGUAAAAACGUUGAUAGAUUAAGAGGUGAAGGAUAGCAUUGCUUCUAACAGCAUUAUUUGGGGAGGAUUUUCUCAGGGAGGCAAUUGAUUUUUUUUUUUAUCAUGCUCUUAAGACACCGCAAAAACUGCAGGACGCCAAUGGGCUCUGUUGCUGGCUUCCACUUCCAGUUUCUUCUCCACAAGGUCCCAUCAAUAGCACUAACAGACAUAUUUUUGUUCUCCAGUGUCAUGGAGAUUUUGACUCUUUAGUUCCCCUAACAUCAGUUCUCUUACUGCUGAAAAACGAACAGCAUUGGUAAAUCCAGCCAAUGUAACCUUCAAAACUUUGGUGCACAGCUGUUGUCUGCAGGAAAUGGUGGAUGCCAGGCAAUUCAUUGAUAAACUUCUACCUCCAGUGACUGACAUCACUAAGAGCCUUGUGUAGAUGUUGGCUGGCAUCACUGUAGUAGAGUAUAAACAUUUUCCCAUGCCUGAUGGGAAAACUUCUAAUGUUGCAGUGUUAAAAUGAUUUACAAAUACAUACCAGGGAGACAGACGAAAUGAUGUCGUCCUAAUGGGAAAUGUAUGAUCCUUUAAAUGUCUACAACAUAUAUCAGUAUUAUACAAUCCGUAAUAUACAAGUGUAAAAGAAGGGAAAGUAAGCAUCUAGCUUUUUUUUUUCUUAAAUUAAUCCAGCAGUCUUAAUACAUCAUUUGAAAAGUGACUAGUAAGCUCACUGAAAGAUAUUUUAGGUCUAAACAAGCCAUUAGGAUGUAAAUGACUUCUUAAUUUUGUGAAUUAGACUAUAAUUUUACUCCACAAUUUUAUAGUCUCCAUGCAGUGUCUGUAUUUUCAUAUGUGUAUUCACAUAUACAUGAUUAUAACAUAUAUGAAUUAGAUGGUAUUACAAUAUUCUUAACACUAGGGAUAAUGCUUGGAGCAUUAAAGGAAGAGCAAUGCUGCUCUCUUCAGUUAAUGGCCCUUUAGUGUGGACACCAGGCCUUUCUUUUUCUGCUACUUCAUUUUUUUCUUCUCUCGAGAGACAAAAAAUGGUUGGCUUCUUUCUUUCUUGAUUUUCUAUAGAAUUCCAAUAUUGCCUCUUUGCCAUAAAACCUACCAAUAUAUACUAUAAUUUCACAGUUUGAAACAUAGACAUGGUAUUUCAAAUCUAAGUAAUGUGAAAAAAACAAACAUUACUUAAGCUUACAUAUUAAAUAAUUGCACCUCAGUCCCGCUUUAGACUGCCGAGUUGUCAGAAUCUUCAGUCCUGGUAAUAAUUCUGUGGUUUUAUUUUUUGGUAAAGAACUGAAAGAGUAAAUGAAACCUUGUUAUGUUAAGAAAUAAAUACUUAAGACCAGUUUUGAAGUCUAAUUCUAAAACAGUUACAUCUUAAAGAAGAGUUUGAGUUUACAUUUUCUGAGCAUAUGCUAUACUUAACUGCAAAUACUGUUCAAAAUGAGCAAUUAAAAAGUUUUAUUUUUAUCUGGCCAUGAACUAAUUAGAAAAUUUCAUUUUAGGUAAAAAAAAAAAGUUUUUGAGAAUAAGUCUCCAGUGCAUCCAUUAAAAUAACAAUAAAUUGAAUUUAAAUAGUGUCCAGCAUAUUGAUGAAAAUUAUUUAAAUUAAUUUACAGGUAAUAAAGACUAAUUAGAACACACACAUAAACACACAUACAUGCACACUAUAUAUAAAACAGCUGAAUAUAUACAAAAUUAUGGUUAUUUAUGAGCUAUUGCUUUUGUUGCUUUUCUUGCUGUUUAUUAACUGACAAAGACCAUGCUAACAAUCAUCUUUAUGAAUGGGUGCUAGGUGAUGGGCAGAUCAUUUGUAUGGUCUAGAUAAAAUGUUAAUAAUGAAGCCAUGUGCUCAUGUUUGAAUUUAAAACAAUUUCAAAAAAAAUCCCUUGCUAUUUUGUUUUCCUUUGAAGAAUAUAAACUUACUUCAGUUAUACCAUCAGUAAAGUUUUAUUUUGGGUAAGAAAAUUUCCAUUGAAUCCUUGUGCUGUCAAGUGGAAAAAUGGCAUGUUUUUCAGUUUCCAUCAAUAUGAAAUAAAAUUUAGU